RNAcentral lists this transfer-messenger RNA (144 nucleotides) under Syntrophomonas sp. RNAcentral describes it as "partial transfer-messenger RNA". It matches the Rfam family "transfer-messenger RNA", at positions 1 to 160 of the family's 374-position model. From Rfam's summary of the family: Bacterial tmRNA, also known as 10Sa RNA or SsrA, is named for its dual tRNA and mRNA-like properties. Lineage: Bacteria; Bacillati; Bacillota; Clostridia; Eubacteriales; Syntrophomonadaceae. The record is from RNAcentral.
GGGGGCGUACUGGUUUCGACGGGGGAAUAGAUGGGUUGAGUAGCGAGCCGAGUUGUCGCCAGCUCGAUAAAAAGGCGAAAAAACAAUAACUGCCGAAGAUAACUUCGCACUAGCCGCUUAAGCGGCUCGUCCGGCCAGGUUUCC